GACGAACGCUGGCGGCGUGCUUAACACAUGCAAGUCGAACGGAAAGGCCCUGCUUUUGUGGGGUGCUCGAGUGGCGAACGGGUGAGUAACACGUGAGUAACCUGCCCUUGACUUUGGGAUAACUUCAGGAAACUGGGGCUAAUACCGGAUAGGAGCUCCUGCUGCAUGGUGGGGGUUGGAAAGUUUCGGCGGUUGGGGAUGGACUCGCGGCUUAUCAGCUUGUUGGUGGGGUAGUGGCUUACCAAGGCUUUGACGGGUAGCCGGCCUGAGAGGGUGACCGGCCAUAUUGGGACUGAGAUGCGGCCCAGACUCCUACGGGAGGCAGCAGUGGGGAAUAUUGCACAAUGGGCGGAAGCCUGAUGCAGCAACGCCGCGUGCGGGAUGACGGCCUUCGGGUUGUAAACCGCUUUCGCCUGUGACGAAGCGUGAGUGACGGUAAUGGGUAAAGAAGCACCGGCUAACUACGUG
This 468-nucleotide ribosomal RNA is filed under the name uncultured bacterium. Its description in RNAcentral is "partial 16S ribosomal RNA". It matches the Rfam family "Bacterial small subunit ribosomal RNA", at positions 28 to 507 of the family's 1533-position model. The record is from RNAcentral.